CAGUCGCCGCGGGAACACGAAGGGGGCUAGCGUUGUUCGGAUUUACUGGGCGUAAAGCGCACGUAGGCGGACUUUUAAGUCAGGGGUGAAAUCCCGGGGCUCAACCCCGGAACUGCCUUUGAUACUGGAAGUCUUGAGUAUGGUAGAGGUGAGUGGAAUUCCGAGUGUAGAGGUGAAAUUCGUAGAUAUUCGGAGGAACACCAGUGGCGAAGGCGGCUCACUGGACCAUUACUGACGCUGAGGUGCGAAAGCGUGGGGAGCAAACAGGAUUAGAGACCCCAGUAGUCCCUGUCUCUUAUAC
This 301-nucleotide ribosomal RNA is filed under the name uncultured bacterium. Its description in RNAcentral is "partial 16S ribosomal RNA". It matches the Rfam family "Bacterial small subunit ribosomal RNA", at positions 509 to 807 of the family's 1533-position model. The record is from RNAcentral.